UGUUUUUCUCAAUGGACCUGGAAGGGCUAGAUCCAUGAAAUGUAUGCCGGCUUCUUGUAUUUCUUCCUGGAGAAAUUCUACGCUGUGGAGAAAGCCUCUUGUCAAGCUUAUCCCUCAAGUCACCACCUCGAUGGUCNNNNNNNNGAACCCAAAAAUUGUCGAAGCUCAACACUUCCAUGGGCGAAGGAGCAAUUCUGGCGAUGACAACGACCCUUUUGAUACAAUACACAUAACUUCGUUUUAAAAAGCUUCCGUUCAACCAUUUUCCAAAAACCCAAAUAUUAAAUCAAAGAAAAUAGAU
Molecule: unclassified non-coding RNA, 301 nt
Filed under: Hevea brasiliensis (rubber tree)
Lineage: Eukaryota; Viridiplantae; Streptophyta; Magnoliopsida; Malpighiales; Euphorbiaceae
Source: RNAcentral